RNAcentral lists this transfer RNA (72 nucleotides) under Coemansia spiralis. RNAcentral describes it as "tRNA-Arg". It matches the Rfam family "tRNA". From Rfam's summary of the family: Transfer RNA (tRNA) molecules are approximately 80 nucleotides in length. Lineage: Eukaryota; Fungi; Kickxellomycota; Kickxellomycetes; Kickxellales; Kickxellaceae. The record is from RNAcentral. RNAcentral also lists the same sequence under 2 other names.
GCUCCGUUAGCAUAAUGGAUAGUGCGUGGCUCUCCUAAAGCCACGAUCUGGGUUCGAUCCCCAGGCGGAGCU